This 448-nucleotide ribosomal RNA is filed under the name uncultured bacterium. Its description in RNAcentral is "bacterial SSU rRNA". It matches the Rfam family "Bacterial small subunit ribosomal RNA", at positions 355 to 825 of the family's 1533-position model. The record is from RNAcentral.
UGGGGAAUAUUGCGCAAUGGGCGCAAGCCUGAUCCAGCCAUGCCGCGUGAGUGACGAAGGCCUUAGGGUUGUAAAGCUCUUUUUGGCGGGGAAGAUAAUGACGGUACCCGCAGAAUAAGCUCCGGCUAACUUCGUGCCAGCAGCCGCGGUAAUACGAAGGGAGCUAGCGUUGUUCGGAAUCACUGGGCGUAAAGCGCACGUAGGUGGGCAGUUAAGUCAGGGGUGAAAGCCCGAGGCUCAACCUCGGAAUUGCCUCUGAUACUGGCUGUCUAGAGUUCGAGAGAGGUGAGUGGAAUUCCUAGUGUAGAGGUGAAAUUCGUAGAUAUUAGGAAGAACACCGGUGGCGAAGGCGGCUCACUGGCUCGAUACUGACACUGAGGUGCGAAAGCGUGGGGAGCAAACAGGAUUAGAUACCCCGGUAGUCCCUGAGCGGGCUGGCAAGGCGCAU